CGGACGGGUGAGUAACGCGUGAGAACAUGCCUUUAGAUUGGGGACAACAGUUGGAAACGACUGCUAAUACCGAAUGUGCCGAAAGGUGAAAGAUUUAUUGUCUAAAGAUUGGCUCGCGUCAGAUUAGGUAGUUGGAGUGGUAACGGCACACCAAGCCUACGAUCUGUACUUGGUCUGAGAGGAUGACCAGGCACACUGGAACUGAGACACGGUCCAGACUCCUACGGGAGGCAGCAGUGGGGAAUUUUCCGCAAUGGGCGCAAGCCUGACGGAGCAAUACCGCGUGAGGGAGGAAGCCUUUUGGGGUGUAAACCUCUUUUAUUAGGGAAGAAUUGAUGACGGUACCUAAUGAAUCAGCAUCGGCUAACUCCGUGCCAGCAGCCGCGGUAAUACGGAGGAUGCAAGCGUUAUCCGGAAUCAUUGGGCGUAAAGCGUCCGUAGGUGGCUUUAUAAGUCUUUUGUCAAAUCGUGCAGCUUAACUGCAUACGGGCGGAGGAAACUAUAGAGCUAGAGUGCGAUAGGGGUUACAGGAAUUCCCAGUGUAGCGGUGAAAUGCGUAGAUAUUGGGAAGAACACCAGCGGCGAAAGCGUGUGACUGGGUCUGCACUGACACUGAGGGACGAAAGCUAGGGGAGCGAAAGGGAUUAGAUACCCCUGUAGUC
RNAcentral lists this ribosomal RNA (662 nucleotides) under uncultured bacterium. Its description in RNAcentral is "bacterial SSU rRNA". It matches the Rfam family "Bacterial small subunit ribosomal RNA", at positions 99 to 795 of the family's 1533-position model. The record is from RNAcentral.